CGGACGGGUGAGUAACGCGUGAGAAUCUGCCUUCAGGUCUGGGACAACCACUGGAAACGGUGGCUAAUACCGGAUGUGCCGCAAGGUGAAAGGUUAACUGCCUGAAGGUGAGCUCGCGUCUGAUUAGCUAGUAGGUAGUGUAAAGGACUACCUAGGCGACGAUCAGUAGCUGGUCUGAGAGGACGAUCAGCCACACUGGGACUGAGACACGGCCCAGACUCCUACGGGAGGCAGCAGUGGGGAAUUUUCCGCAAUGGGCGAAAGCCUGACGGAGCAAUACCGCGUGAGGGAGGAAGGCUCUUGGGUCGUAAACCUCUUUUCUCAGGGAAGAACAAAAUGACGGUACCUGAGGAAUAAGCAUCGGCUAACUCCGUGCCAGCAGCCGCGGUAAUACGGAGGAUGCAAGCGUUAUCCGGAAUGAUUGGGCGUAAAGCGUCCGCAGGUGGCUAUGUAAGUCUGCUGUUAAAGAGUCUAGCUCAACUAGAUAAGAGCAGUGGAAACUACAUGGCUAGAGUGCGUUCGGGGCAGAGGGAAUUCCUGGUGUAGCGGUGAAAUGCGUAGAGAUCAGGAAGAACACCAAUGGCGAAGGCGCUCUGCUAGGCCGUAACUGACACUGAGGGACGAAAGCUAGGGGAGCGAAUGGGAUUAGAUACCCCAGUAGUC
RNAcentral lists this ribosomal RNA (663 nucleotides) under uncultured cyanobacterium. RNAcentral describes it as "bacterial SSU rRNA". It matches the Rfam family "Bacterial small subunit ribosomal RNA", at positions 99 to 795 of the family's 1533-position model. The record is from RNAcentral. Lineage: Bacteria; Bacillati; Cyanobacteriota.